UGGGGAAUAUUGGACAAUGGGCGCAAGCCUGAUCCAGCCAUGCCGCGUGAGUGAUGAAGGCCCUAGGGUUGUAAAGCUCUUUCACCGGUGAAGAUAAUGACGGUAACCGGAGAAGAAGCCCCGGCUAACUUCGUGCCAGCAGCCGCGGUAAUACGAAGGGGGCUAGCGUUGUUCGGAUUUACUGGGCGUAAAGCGCACGUAGGCGGACUUUUAAGUCAGGGGUGAAAUCCCGGGGCUCAACCCCGGAACUGCCUUUGAUACUGGAAGUCUUGAGUAUGGUAGAGGUGAGUGGAAUUCCGGGUGUAGAGGUGAAAUUCGAAGAUAUUCGGAGGAACACCAGUGGCGAAGGCGGCUCACUGGACCAUUACUGACGCUGAGGUGCGAAAGCGGGGGGAGCAAACAGG
This 404-nucleotide ribosomal RNA is filed under the name Actinomycetes bacterium. Its description in RNAcentral is "Actinobacteria bacterium partial 16S ribosomal RNA". It matches the Rfam family "Bacterial small subunit ribosomal RNA", at positions 355 to 776 of the family's 1533-position model. Lineage: Bacteria; Bacillati; Actinomycetota; Actinomycetes. The record is from RNAcentral.